GGCUCUGUGGCGCAAUGGAUAGCGCAUUGGACUUCUAGUAGAAACGCAUCAGAAGUGAUUCAAAGGUUGUGGGUUCGAGUCCCACCAGAGUCG
This 93-nucleotide transfer RNA is filed under the name Perca fluviatilis (European perch). It matches the Rfam family "tRNA". Rfam says of the family: Transfer RNA (tRNA) molecules are approximately 80 nucleotides in length. Their secondary structure includes four short double-helical elements and three loops (D, anti-codon, and T loops). The record is from Rfam by way of RNAcentral. Lineage: Eukaryota; Metazoa; Chordata; Actinopteri; Perciformes; Percidae.